GGAGCUUGCGGCUUAAUUUGACUCAACACGGGAAAACUCACCCGGACCGGACACUAUGAGGAUAGACAGAUUGAUAGCUCUUUCUUGAUUUGGUGAUUAGUGGUGCAUGGCCGUUCUUAGUUCGUGGUAUGAAUUGUCUGGUUAAUUCCGAUAACGAACGAGAUUCUAACCUGCUAAAUAGUCUGUGUGUAACCCUGUGUGGUUUGUGUGUAUGGACUUGUCUGUGCGCACUGCCAUACGAGCAUACGGUACUUCUUAGAGGGAUUGGUGGAUACUAAAACCACAAUAGAGAGAGCAAUAACAGGUCUGUGAUGCCCUUAGAUGUUCGGGGCCGCACGCGUGCUACACUGACAGUGGUAGAGAGUUUGGUAUCCUCAGGCGAAAGCUGGGGGCAAACUUUUCAAUUACUGUCGUGCCUGGGAUCGGGGUUUGUAACUAUCCCCCGUGAACCAGGAAUUCCUAGUAAGCACAAUUCAUCAGAU
Molecule: ribosomal RNA, 482 nt
Filed under: Swingleus porterensis
Lineage: Eukaryota; Metazoa; Platyhelminthes; Monogenea; Gyrodactylidea; Gyrodactylidae
Description: bacterial SSU rRNA
Rfam family: Eukaryotic small subunit ribosomal RNA
Source: RNAcentral